AUGUACGUACGCAACCUUGCUAGACGCUUGCAUCGCAACAACACCUCUGCCCUCCUGUUCAAGCUCGACAUCAAGAAAGCGUUUGACUCGGUGCGUUGGGACUACCUCCUGGACUUGCUCAACCACCUUGGUUUCCCUCCCCGGUUUCGUGGCUGGGUGUCUGCUCUCUUGUCUACGGCCUCUUCGCGUGUCUUGCUCAAUGGUGUGCCGGGCGACCCCUUCAGGCUUGGGCGUGGGCUGAGGCAAGGGGACCCCCUGUCUCCCCUUCUCUUUGUGCUGGCCAUUGAUCCAUUACAUCACAUCCUUGAGAAGGCCACAUCACAAGGUCACCUCCAUCCCAUUGGCGGUCGGGCUAUGCCGAUCCGGGCUUCCUCAACGCGGACGAUGCUGUGGUUUUUAUUGCGCCGCUCAAGGCGGAUGUCAGUUUCUUUGCCGACACCCUCAGAAACUUUGGAUUACCACUGUCAGUGA
Molecule: ribosomal RNA, 471 nt
Filed under: Triticum aestivum (bread wheat)
Lineage: Eukaryota; Viridiplantae; Streptophyta; Magnoliopsida; Poales; Poaceae
Description: partial small subunit ribosomal RNA
Source: RNAcentral